This 323-nucleotide unclassified non-coding RNA is filed under the name uncultured Thelephoraceae. RNAcentral's name for it is "sequence contains ITS2". The stretch from base 1 to 52 matches the Rfam family "5.8S ribosomal RNA", at positions 103 to 154 of the family's 154-position model. The record is from RNAcentral. Lineage: Eukaryota; Fungi; Basidiomycota; Agaricomycetes; Thelephorales; Thelephoraceae.
AACGCACCUUGCGCUCCUUGGUAUUCCGAGGAGCAUGCCUGUUUGAGUGUCAUGAAAUCCUCAGCUGCCCCAGGCUUUUGUGGCCUGUGGGUGAAGUUGGACUUGGAGGUAUGCUGGCGCAUGAAUGGGCUUUGUGCCCUGCUGUGCUUGUCGGCUCCUCUUGAAUGUAUGAGCUUUCCAAUCCUUGGCAAAGUAUCGUCGAUGUGAUAAUUAUCUAUGUCGCCCGAGAAAGCCGUAAAGGGGAAAUCUUCGAUCACGCUGGGGCAACCCCCGUGUCUGACAAAUUCGACCUCAAAUCAGGUAGGACUACCCGCUGAACUUAA